This 22-nucleotide microRNA is filed under the name Monodelphis domestica (gray short-tailed opossum). RNAcentral describes it as "mdo-miR-12394-3p". The record is from miRBase by way of RNAcentral. Lineage: Eukaryota; Metazoa; Chordata; Mammalia; Didelphimorphia; Didelphidae.
CUCUCUUCCCUACUCCUUGUUC